GUCUUGAAGUGCUGAAUGAUCACAUACCAAAUAUGGAGAACAAACGAUACAAUCUUCUUAGAUAAUAGCAACAAAAUUGAUUGGAAAAAGUUUACGCUCUCUUUUGUAUUCCUGGAGACAUCUGGACAGAUAAAAUGAAUAAAAACAAUAAUUGAAAAGUCCUUAGGAACAAUAUUCCAAUUUUCACUUUUGUUGGCUCCACAACUUGAUUUUCUUCAAUUUCAAUUGGAGUUUCCAUGGCUUGAUCAGCUCCUUGCUUUGGAAUAAGGUCUUCAAUAGAUGAAGGUUCAACAAUCAAAAUUUUGGAUUUU
Molecule: unclassified non-coding RNA, 311 nt
Filed under: Hevea brasiliensis (rubber tree)
Lineage: Eukaryota; Viridiplantae; Streptophyta; Magnoliopsida; Malpighiales; Euphorbiaceae
Source: RNAcentral